UACGUAGGGGGCAAGCGUUGUCCGGAAUCACUGGGCGUAAAGGGCGCGUAGGCGGAUCUUUAAGUCGGGGGUGAAAGCCCAGGGCUCAACCCUGGAAUUGCCUUCGAUACUGAAGAUCUCGAGACCGGAAGAGGUAAGUGGAACUGCGAGUGUAGAGGUGAAAUUCGUAGAUAUCGGGAGGAACACCAAUGGCGAAGGCAGCUCGCUGGGACGGUACUGACGCUGAGACGCGAAAGCGUGGGGAGCAAACAGG
RNAcentral lists this ribosomal RNA (253 nucleotides) under uncultured bacterium. Its description in RNAcentral is "partial 16S ribosomal RNA". It matches the Rfam family "Bacterial small subunit ribosomal RNA", at positions 524 to 776 of the family's 1533-position model. The record is from RNAcentral.